RNAcentral lists this non-coding RNA (117 nucleotides) under Gorilla gorilla gorilla (western lowland gorilla). Lineage: Eukaryota; Metazoa; Chordata; Mammalia; Primates; Hominidae. The record is from Rfam by way of RNAcentral.
GCCGGGCGUGAUGGCUCAUGCCUGUAAUCCCAGCACUUUGGGAGGCUGAGGUGGGCGGAUCACCUGAGGUCGGGAGUUCAAGACCAGCCUGACCAACAUGGAGAAACCACACCUCUA